CCUACGGGUGGCUGCAGUGGGGAAUAAUGGACAAUGGGCGAAAGCCUGAUCCAGCCAUGCCGCGUGUGUGAAGAAGGCCUUCGGGUUGUAAAGCACUUUCAGUGGGGAAGAAAGCCUUGGGGCUAAUACCCUCGAGGAAGGACAUCACCCACAGAAGAAGCACCGGCUAACUCCGUGCCAGCAGCCGCGGUAAUACGGAGGGUGCGAGCGUUAAUCGGAAUUACUGGGCGUAAAGCGCGCGUAGGCGGUCUGAUAAGCCGGUUGUGAAAGCCCCGGGCUCAACCUGGGAACGGCAUCCGGAACUGUCAGGCUAGAGUGCAGGAGAGGAAGGUAGAAUUCCCGGUGUAGCGGUGAAAUGCGUAGAGAUCGGGAGGAAUACCAGUGGCGAAGGCGGCCUUCUGGACUGACACUGACGCUGAGGUGCGAAAGCGUGGGUAGCAAACAGGAUUAGAUACCCGAGUAGUC
RNAcentral lists this ribosomal RNA (465 nucleotides) under Vreelandella stevensii. Its description in RNAcentral is "partial 16S ribosomal RNA". It matches the Rfam family "Bacterial small subunit ribosomal RNA", at positions 338 to 795 of the family's 1533-position model. The record is from RNAcentral. Lineage: Bacteria; Pseudomonadati; Pseudomonadota; Gammaproteobacteria; Oceanospirillales; Halomonadaceae.